AUUGAACGCCGGCGGCAGGCCUAACACAUGCAAGUCGAGCGGAUGAAGGGAGCUUGCUCCUGGAUUCAGCGGCGGACGGGUGAGUAAUGCCUAGGAAUCUGCCUGGUAGUGGGGGAUAACGUCCGGAAACGGGCGCUAAUACCGCAUACGUCCUGAGGGAGAAAGUGGGGGAGCUUCGGACCUCACGCCAUCAGAUGAGCCUAGGUCGGAUUAGCUAGUUGGUGGGGUAAAUGCCUACCAAGGCGACGAUCCGUAACUGGUAUGAGAGGAUGAUCAGUCACAUUGGAUGUGAGAAAGGGCACCGACUCCGGCGGUAGGAAGCAGUGGAGACUCUUGGACGAGGCGCGAAUGCCUGAUACAGGCAUGCCGCGUGUGUGAAGAAGGACUUCGGAUUGGAAAGCACUGUAAGUUGUGGGGAAGGAAAGUAAGUUAAUCCCUGGCUGUAUUGACGGUACCAACAGAAUAAGCACCGGCUAACUUCGUG
Molecule: ribosomal RNA, 484 nt
Filed under: uncultured bacterium
Lineage: Bacteria
Description: partial 16S ribosomal RNA
Rfam family: Bacterial small subunit ribosomal RNA
Source: RNAcentral